ACUAAGCGUACACGGUGGAUGCCCUGGCAGUCAGAGGCGAUGAAGGACGUGCUAAUCUGCGAUAAGCGUCGGUAAGGUGAUAUGAACCGUUAUAACCGGCGAUUUCCGAAUGGGGAAACCCAGUGUGAUUCGUCACACUAUCAUUAACUGAAUCCAUAGGUUAAUGAGGCGAACCGGGGGAACUGAAACAUCUAAGUACCCCGAGGAAAAGAAAUCAACCGAGAUUCCCCCAGUAGCGGCGAGCGAACGGGGAGCAGCCCAGAGCCUGAAUCAGUGUGUGUGUUAGUGGAAGCGUCUGGAAAGGCGCGCGAUACAGGGUGACAGCCCCGUACACAAAAAUGCACAUGCUGUGAGCUCGAUGAGUAGGGCGGGACACGUGGUAUCCUGUCUGAAUAUGGGGGGACCAUCCUCCAAGGCUAAAUACUCCUGACUGACCGAUAGUGAACCAGUACCGUGAGGGAAAGGCGAAAAGAACCCCGGCGAGGGGAGUGAAAAAGAACCUGAAACCGUGUACGUACAAGCAGUGGGAGCCUCUUUAUGGGGUGACUGCGUACCUUUUGUAUAAUGGGUCAGCGACUUAUAUUCUGUAGCAAGGUUAACCGAAUAGGGGAGCCGAAGGGAAACCGAGUCUUAACUGGGCGUUAAGUUGCAGGGUAUAGACCCGAAACCCGGUGAUCUAGCCAUGGGCAGGUUGAAGGUUGGGUAACACUAACUGGAGGACCGAACCGACUAAUGUUGAAAAAUUAGCGGAUGACUUGUGGCUGGGGGUGAAAGGCCAAUCAAACCGGGAGAUAGCUGGUUCUCCCCGAAAGCUAUUUAGGUAGCGCCUCGUGAAUUCAUCUCCGGGGGUAGAGCACUGUUUCGGCAAGGGGGUCAUCCCGACUUACCAACCCGAUGCAAACUGCGAAUACCGGAGAAUGUUAUCACGGGAGACACACGGCGGGUGCUAACGUCCGUCGUGAAGAGGGAAACAACCCAGACCGCCAGCUAAGGUCCCAAAGUCAUGGUUAAGUGGGAAACGAUGUGGGAAGGCCCAGACAGCCAGGAUGUUGGCUUAGAAGCAGCCAUCAUUUAAAGAAAGCGUAAUAGCUCACUGGUCGAGUCGGCCUGCGCGGAAGAUGUAACGGGGCUAAACCAUGCACCGAAGCUGCGGCAGCGACGCUUAUGCGUUGUUGGGUAGGGGAGCGUUCUGUAAGCCUGCGAAGGUGUACUGUGAGGUAUGCUGGAGGUAUCAGAAGUGCGAAUGCUGACAUAAGUAACGAUAAAGCGGGUGAAAAGCCCGCUCGCCGGAAGACCAAGGGUUCCUGUCCAACGUUAAUCGGGGCAGGGUGAGUCGACCCCUAAGGCGAGGCCGAAAGGCGUAGUCGAUGGGAAACAGGUUAAUAUUCCUGUACUUGGUGUUACUGCGAAGGGGGGACGGAGAAGGCUAUGUUGGCCGGGCGACGGUUGUCCCGGUUUAAGCGUGUAGGCUGGUUUUCCAGGCAAAUCCGGAAAAUCAAGGCUGAGGCGUGAUGACGAGGCACUACGGUGCUGAAGCAACAAAUGCCCUGCUUCCAGGAAAAGCCUCUAAGCAUCAGGUAACAUCAAAUCGUACCCCAAACCGACACAGGUGGUCAGGUAGAGAAUACCAAGGCGCUUGAGAGAACUCGGGUGAAGGAACUAGGCAAAAUGGUGCCGUAACUUCGGGAGAAGGCACGCUGAUAUGUAGGUGAAGUCCCUUGCGGAUGGAGCUGAAAUCAGUCGAAGAUACCAGCUGGCUGCAACUGUUUAUUAAAAACACAGCACUGUGCAAACACGAAAGUGGACGUAUACGGUGUGACGCCUGCCCGGUGCCGGAAGGUUAAUUGAUGGGGUUAGCGGUAACGCGAAGCUCUUGAUCGAAGCCCCGGUAAACGGCGGCCGUAACUAUAACGGUCCUAAGGUAGCGAAAUUCCUUGUCGGGUAAGUUCCGACCUGCACGAAUGGCGUAAUGAUGGCCAGGCUGUCUCCACCCGAGACUCAGUGAAAUUGAACUCGCUGUGAAGAUGCAGUGUACCCGCGGCAAGACGGAAAGACCCCGUGAACCUUUACUAUAGCUUGACACUGAACAUUGAGCCUUGAUGUGUAGGAUAGGUGGGAGGCUUUGAAGUGUGGACGCCAGUCUGCAUGGAGCCGACCUUGAAAUACCACCCUUUAAUGUUUGAUGUUCUAACGUUGGCCCCUAAUCGGGGUUGCGGACAGUGUCUGGUGGGUAGUUUGACUGGGGCGGUCUCCUCCUAAAGAGUAACGGAGGAGCACGAAGGUUGGCUAAUCCUGGUCGGACAUCAGGAGGUUAGUGCAAUGGCAUAAGCCAGCUUGACUGCGAGCGUGACGGCGCGAGCAGGUGCGAAAGCAGGUCAUAGUGAUCCGGUGGUUCUGAAUGGAAGGGCCAUCGCUCAACGGAUAAAAGGUACUCCGGGGAUAACAGGCUGAUACCGCCCAAGAGUUCAUAUCGACGGCGGGGUUUGGCACCUCGAUGUCGGCUCAUCACAUCCUGGGGCUGAAGUAGGUCCCAAGGGUAUGGCUGUUCGCCAUUUAAAGUGGUACGCGAGCUGGGUUUAGAACGUCGUGAGACAGUUCGGUCCCUAUCUGCCGUGGGCGCUGGAGAACUGAGGGGGGCUGCUCCUAGUACGAGAGGACCGGAGUGGACGCAUCACUGGUGUUCGGGUUGUCAUGCCAAUGGCACUGCCCGGUAGCUAAAUGCGGAAGAGAUAAGUGCUGAAAGCAUCUAAGCACGAAACUUGCCCCGAGAUGAGUUCUCCCUGACUCCCUGAGAGUCCUGAAGGAACGUUGAAGACGACGACGUUGAUAGGCCGGGUGUGUAAGCGCAGCGAUGCGUUGAGCUAACCGGUACUAAUGAACCGUGAGGCUUAACC
RNAcentral lists this ribosomal RNA (2894 nucleotides) under human gut metagenome. Its description in RNAcentral is "bacterial LSU rRNA". It matches the Rfam family "Bacterial large subunit ribosomal RNA". The record is from RNAcentral.